This 621-nucleotide ribosomal RNA is filed under the name uncultured bacterium. RNAcentral's name for it is "bacterial SSU rRNA". It matches the Rfam family "Bacterial small subunit ribosomal RNA", at positions 8 to 608 of the family's 1533-position model. The record is from RNAcentral.
AGAGUUUGAUCCUGGCUCAGAACGAACGUUAGCGGCGCGCCUAACACAUGCAAGUCGAGCGAGAAAGGGCUUCGGCCCCGGUACAGCGGCGCACGGGUGAGUAACACGUAGGUAAUCUUCCCUCGAGCGGGGGAUAACCCUCCGAAAGGAGGGCUAAUACCGCAUAAGACCACGGGAGCGAAAGCGACUGAGGUCAAAGCCGGCCUCUCUACAGAAGCUGGCACUUGAGGAUGAGCCUGCGGCCCAUCAGCUAGUUGGUAGGGUAAUGGCCUACCAAGGCGAAGACGGGUAGCUGGUCUGAGAGGAUGAUCAGCCACACUGGAACUGAGACACGGUCCAGACUCCUACGGGAGGCAGCAGUGGGGAAUCUUGCGCAAUGGGCGAAAGCCUGACGCAGCGACGCCGCGUGAGUGAUGAAGGCCUUCGGGUUGUAAAGCUCUGUGGAGGGGGACGAAUAAGUCGGAGCGAACAGCUCCGAUGAUGACGGUACCCUUUUAGCAAGCACCGGCUAACUCUGUGCCAGCAGCCGCGGUAAGACAGAGGGUGCAAACGUUGUUCGGAAUUACUGGGCGUAAAGCGCGUGUAGGCGGCUCUGAUAAGUGAGGUGUGAAAGCCCUGGGC